CUAAAUGCACGAUUUUGGUCAUUUAUAAUUUCAGUUGAUAUUUCUUUUCUAUUCUGUGAGGUUUUCCAUUUUCUUCUUCUUCAUUAUGUUUCAAACAAAAAAUCCUCUUCACUGGAUCACUAAAUAGAAAAGAAAAAGUUGACAUUUUUUUCCUUACACACUUGAAAACUUUUAUCCCAUUUCUGAUUCAAUUCUUAAGGAAGUUUUUUAUCUUUGGAUUUCUGGCUUCAUAAGCUUUUGUUGGUGUAGAGUGGAAGAGUUGGUGAUUUGAUGCAGCUUUCUGUUGUAUUUAGAGGGCUGAGAGUCUAUCUUUUUUCGCUCAUUUAUUUAGAGGGCUGACACCCCCCCCCCCCCACAACCUCUAUUUCAUCUGAUUUCACUGAUCUGUUUGAUUUCUCCUAUUCUCUUAUUUCUAUGUAUCUGCACACAUGAAGCUAAUAAUUAUCUUCAUUUAGGCAAAACCUGAUACAAAAUCUAAAGAGGUCAAGUAAAGAUUGUUGAUCCAAAGAAAGAUGAGGAAGAGGAUGAAUAAUGAGAGGAUGUGUCUGGCUACGAAGAUGAUCUUAUAAGUUCUGAUGGAGUAUUGUUCUCACUCUGGGUUUAAAUCUCUUUUUUUCGUAGUUUAUUACUGUAUGUGUGGGAUUUCAAGAUGCUUUUUUUUUUUUAAAUUCAAUGUUCCCAAGAUCAAACAGAAUGCUUUUACAAAAGAUAUUGGUAAUGAAGUUACCUUUCCUUUUGAUUUUAAGUUCUUCUAAUGUCCAGUUUGAAUCUAAGUUGGAGGUUUGGAUGUGGGCUAUUAUAAAAUUCAUCAUAAAUAGAUGUCUGCAAAAGUAUUAUUUGCUUCAUUAAUUUAAUCUCUCCUUCCCAUAAUCCCAUUGGCACAGUUGCAGUUUAUCUAUUACAGCAUCUAGCAAACAUGUGUUUUUGGGACUGGGAGAUUCAGUCCUCAAAUUCUCUUUUUUUCUUCAAAUUUACCACUGAACAAAUGGUUUCUUAUAAUAAUAUGCAUAAAAGACAAAUCUCAAUCAAUCUUGAUGAAUAUUGUUCUGUUUAGAGUAGACACAAGGAAAAGAAAAUAAAGACCACUUGAUGUGUUUUUGAAGAUUCGAGGAAUGUAGUGUGUCAUUUUGAAACUUGUGUGUAAAAACAAAUGUUUCUCUUUCUUGAUAAAUAGGGAAUAUUAUACUACUUCUGUCUAUGUUGAUGAUCAUUAUAUCUUCAUCUUCACAUGUCACUCUUUCUUGUGUUUAUCUUCUCUAGCCUUAUUUUUCAUUACUUCUCUAGCCUGAUUUUCCAUUGCAUGAUGCAGGGAGACUGUCAAAAUUAUUUUUAGUCCUCACUUUGAGAAAUGUAAGUUGUAGUUGGAUCAACUUUUACCUUGAAAAUGAUAAUAGAGUUCUUAUUUGUUAACUGGUUUGUAUAUUGCAACCUUUUUGUGUUUCUUCAACCUUCUCUUUAUCUUGCUUUUUAGUUUAUUGGCAUUCUUACAUGUGUUUGAAUUAGCAAUCUGGUUUCAGGACUCGAGUAUGUACCAUUUUAGCAUGUUUCACGCCUCGCACCAUAUUGUACUUGUACCUGCCUGCCAGCAAAGAAGAGAUAGAAGUUGAAGCAUCUUCUGUGAAGGGGGGUUUCUGUGCAAAGGGAAGAGUUUAAUUGAUGAGUGUGAGGUUGAUUUAUUGCUUUUAAAAAGUCAAUUUAUGAGACGGAGCAUUCAAGGGAGUUCAAGUGAUUUGGUUACCGGAUAUAUGGACUAUGGGGUGGAUGCCAUCAUAGAGCAGUGAAGAGGAAAAGAAGUAGGAACAAACUUCUACCAG
Molecule: long non-coding RNA, 1814 nt
Organism: Lotus japonicus
Lineage: Eukaryota; Viridiplantae; Streptophyta; Magnoliopsida; Fabales; Fabaceae
Exons: 3
Source: RefSeq, a predicted model, not a curated record